This 460-nucleotide ribosomal RNA is filed under the name uncultured bacterium. Its description in RNAcentral is "partial 16S ribosomal RNA". It matches the Rfam family "Bacterial small subunit ribosomal RNA", at positions 338 to 795 of the family's 1533-position model. The record is from RNAcentral.
CCUACGGGUGGCAGCAGUGAGGAAUAUUGGUCAAUGGGCGCGAGCCUGAACCAGCCAAGUAGCGUGAAGGAUGACUGCCCUACGGGUUGUAAACCUCUUUUAUAAAGGAAUAAAGUGAGGCACGUGUGCCUUUUUGUAUGUACUUUAUGAUUAAGGAUCGGCUAACUCCGUGCCAGCAGCCGCGGUAAUACGGAGGAGCCGAGCGUUAUCCGGAUUUAUUGGGUUUAAAGGGAGCGUAGAUGGGUUGUUAAGUCAGUUGUGAAAGUUUGCGGCUCAACCGUAAAAUUGCAAUUGAUACUGGAAGCCUUGAGUACAGUUGAGGUAGGCGGAAUUCGUGGUGUAGCGGUGAAAUGCUUAGAUAGCACGAAGAACUCCGAUUGCGAAGGCAGCUUACUAAACUGCCACUGACAUUGAUGCUCGAAAGUGUGGGUAUCAAACAGGAUUAGAUACCCGAGUAGUC